AGGCAGGGGCAUGUUGAGGGUUGGGGACAGCUAACUGGGGGACCGCACGCACGAAUGGUGCAAAAUUAGCCGAAGAGUGCGGGCGGGGGGUGAAAGGCCGAUCGAACCGAGAGAUAGCGAGGUCGCCCUGAAAGCUAGUUAGCUCGCGCAGCGAGUACUCAUGUACCGGGGGAGAGCACUGGUUCGGGUAGGGGGUGAUCCCGACGUACAAACCCGGUGCAGACUGCGGAUACCGGAGAAUGUUAUCACAGGAGACACACGGCGGGUGCUAACGUCGGUCGUGAAG
RNAcentral lists this ribosomal RNA (286 nucleotides) under Klebsiella pneumoniae. Its description in RNAcentral is "partial 23S ribosomal RNA". It matches the Rfam family "Bacterial large subunit ribosomal RNA", at positions 732 to 1015 of the family's 2925-position model. The record is from RNAcentral. Lineage: Bacteria; Pseudomonadati; Pseudomonadota; Gammaproteobacteria; Enterobacterales; Enterobacteriaceae.